GCUUUGACCAUUUAUUUUGCACUUGCUCUCUCUUUGGAUAAAUCCCUUUUCAGAUUUCCUCUCCUCUCUCUAUUCAUCAUCUUCCUCACCGGCCAGGCCAAGGUCCUCCAGACCCCACCUCCACCAGCCCCGCCCUGCCGGAGCUCAUCUUGCCCGAUCCCCCACUCCUCCAACAUCCCAGCUCUCGUAUGAGCUCCUCUGUACCCGCCGAUGGCGCAUAUCAGCCGCAGGUCAUGCAAGGGCCCCCGAUCCCUCCCUCGCCGUCCUUCGUCUGCUCCCGCUCGCCGGCCGUCAUCUUUCCGGCACGUCCGCGCGGCUGCUACACCUCCAGGCACGCCGCCGCCGACACAAGGAGGAGGCCUCCCGUUGCUCUCCCUGGACGGCAGCGACCAUGCUGCAGGGACGACGUGUUGCUGCUGCUACUCACCGACGCUCCGCCUCCACCGCAGCAUGUCGGUUAGGUUCAGGACCUGGUACUAGCAGAUGGACGGCGGGGCAAGGAUGAGCGGAGGUGGGUUCAGCUGGAGCACGUUCUGGAUGGGCGACGUCAUGAGUUUCCGACUCGAAAAGAAUCAUGGAAUGGCUGACGCCAUCGACCGCGGCCAAAUCAGCGUGCAGGUUCUGGUUCAUGCAGUUGCAAUACAAAACAUAAUAGCAUAAAUUCUCUUUAAUUUAGGCACACUACAAAACAUAAGUAAAGUUAAUAGUUAUUCACUGGAUUUUAGCCUGUAUUUUAACAUGACUAAUGCAAUACAUUUAGGUUUCUACUAAUUUUGUUUGAACCUUGUGAGUUCAAUCUUAUAUGGUUUGUGAAACUAAGGCUAGAUUUGCUCUGCUCUGCUGUUUUUUUUUUUUUUUUUUUUUUGCUUUUGAUAUUACCUUUUUCUUUAUCUCUGGAAUGAGUAGUUGCGAGCCAUGUGGAAUCAACCGGUGCCAUCUUCAAUUUUGUAGCAGAUUUUCCAUUCUCAAGUUUUUUUUUUGAGAAAGCUAUCUACCUGUAAAUAUAUGACAUAAUGAACAUGGAAAAUAAAAUAGAAGAAGCCGUUAGUCAUGUUGUAUGUUGGUGUCACGCACACUCUAAUUAUAUAUCAGUUGUAUGUCCAUUCUUGCUGCUUUUUCGUCACAUUUAACCAUUGCAAAUCCCUGUGCCUAGAUCUGUAUGUGACUGUUUGAUAUUUGUUUUCAUUCAUAUUCGCAUAUCUAGCUUUCACCAGAUGUUCCUUAUGUACAUACUCUCACAUAUGUCUAUUUGUUUGUAAAUGAAGUGCCAUCUACUGAAUAUUUGGUACUUCAAACAAAUUUUAAAAGCACGAGCCAUCGAGAACUCCCAAAUAUGCUUCCUCAUUGUUUAACUGAUUAUUAAAAUUUUCUCAGCCUUCAAAUGAUAUGGUUGCUUGGAUGUGUGAAAUUCGUCUCGGCAAUGGAAAUACGGUCAUGCAUUGGAUAAGGUAGCCAUUUAUUUACCAAUACCUAUAUUUUCUCAUUUACAAUUCUACGCCAGUAUUUUAUCACCUCAAGAAAAGGAUUAAAAAUACUUGUGAUGGCCAAAAAUGACGUGUCAACUAUUAAAACUAUAAAUAUUGUAUACCAGGAGGUAAUGGACUAUCUGUAAGAGUAUGCACAUCAGAGCAUAUCAUGGUUGCAGCCUUGCAGGUACAUUCAGUAACUUAGACAUGGCUUCAGGUAUAUCUGUGCUUUGCAUUUAGACAAUUAAAACAUUUCCUCAUUCUUUAUCCAGUGUUCAUCUAAUAUAGAGGAAUUUGGGCAGCUUACAUCUCCAACGUUGCACAUUUAUGUGAACAAACAUUUGUAUUAUGUCUUUUGUCUCAUCAAUUUUAUUGUAUGCCACUUCUAAACCAUGACACAUCUGUUAGUCUGUACACUUCUUUGUUAGUUUUUGGUCAACUUACCAAUAAAGUGGCGAGUAUUUUCCGUCAACUUACCAAUAAACAGCACACCAUGCUUUUGGUUAUUAGACAAAUUGUUCUUACUCUCUAUAUUAGAAAAUAAUAAUCAGAUCAUGUUUUAAGCUAAAUAAUAUUUUAGGCUAGGUUAUCCUAUAGACAUAUUGUUUUACUGUCCAGGUUGAGUAUCUCAAAAUAAACAUGAAAACGAUGCUUUGGGUUAAUUGCACAUAUUGUACUUACUGUCUAGGUUAGGAAAAUAAACAACAGACCAUGUUUUACGCUAAAUCAUAUUUUAUCCUAUGAUAUCCUAUAAUUAGACAUAUUGUUUUUACUAUCCAAGUUGAGUAGUCCGUUACCUGGUGCAUGUCUCGGAACAUUAACAUCAGGUCAUGUUUCAGGCUAAGUUAUUCUAUAAUCAGACAUAUUGUUCUUGUUGUCACUGGUAGAAAAAAUAAACAUUGGAUUAUGUUUUCGCUUAAAUUAUCCUUAAAUUGGGCAGAUUUAUAUUGCUGUCCAAGUUGAAUAGUUCGUUACAUGGUGCAAUUCAUUUACCAACUCGCAGCAGGGCAUCAGUUAUAAUUAUCCUUGUGCUCUAAACAAUUUCUUAUUUGUUUUUCUGCUCUCCUUUCAGGUCAUGCCUUGCAGGUUCCUAUCUGAAAGACAGUGUUUUGUCAAGAAAGUUAGGCUACGCGCAAUCCCUUUGGUUCUUUAAUGCUAGCCCCUGGGAGUGGAAUCCACAGUGUAUUGAGAAUAGGCAAGCAAAGAGAGCAAGAUCCAAAACACAUGUCGCCUUAGCCUCGCAGGCUUUGCAAGCUACUUUUCUGAUCCUCGCUGGGAAUUAAGUGGAUAACAAUGACAGAUCACCAGAAAAUGAAUUAGCUCUUUCAACUUUCAGGUUUGGAAUUCACCAUUGCCACUGAAGUGGCUGCUAUUGAAGUUCUACUACCUUCACAGUAAAAUAAGACGCUGGAAAAUCAUGAAAAUGACAGAAAUCUGAUGAGAAUUAUUUCAAGGUAUAUCCCCCCUUUUGCCAUAUUUUCUUGACUGGUAAUCCAUCAUGUUAGAGGUUAAUGGUAGUUUUCCCAACGAAGGGGAAUUUGCAAUGAAUGCAAAUGCUGGUAAAAUUAGGCAGCCAGUGUAAAUUGUAUAAUUCAUGAUCAGUUUAAAUUUUAACUUGUGUGUUGUUGCCUGUGGAGGUCUAUUACUUCUUUUGGCCUCGACCGUCAUUUUCUUGACGCUGGUAAUCCAUCAUGUUAGAGGUUAAUGGUAGUUUUCCCAAUGAAGGGGAAUUUGCAAUGUUAGAGGUUAAUGGUAGUUUUCCCAAUGAAGGGGAAUUUGCAAUGAAUGCAAAUGCUGGUAAAAUUAGGCAGCCAAUGCAAAUUGUAUAAUUCAUGAUCAGUUUAAUUUUUAACUUGUGUGUUGUUGCCUGUGGAGAUCUAUUACUUCUUUUGGCAUCGACCGUAUCUUCCAAGCUUACAGCAUUAUAAGCUACCAUGUGCUCAAAAUUUCACAAUACUGAGUUUGGUAAGUAGUAUUUGUUCCAGAAGAAUCAUACAUAUAUCAGAUGUAAAAAUAGAAAGUAUUUCGAAACAUAAAUACAUGUACAAUCUCUUGAAGUACUCCGGUAUGUGAAUGAUAUAAUACUGUUAAAAGUGAAAUAUGUUAGAGAGGAGCGAAUAAUUAACUGUGUGGUUCCGAUGAUCUGUUAAUAGAAGAAUCCGGAUGACACCAGCCAGGGCCCUCGAAAGGCAAUCCCUGGAUAGAAGACCAUUUAGCCACAAUAUCUGUUGGUCCUCAGGUACAGCCAACAGCAUCAUCAUUCUCUCCUCUGACAAAGACAACGCCGGCGAGACUUCACCGUGCAAGGGGAAGGAAUUAUUAGAGCACGUACCUACUGCCUAGGCAAGGUGGUCUACACUACUGUUCAAAUUCAAUUUUCUGCAUGUGUAUUUUGGUCCAUCAUCAGUUAUGUGGUUAGUGUUCUGCAUCCUAUUAGUGUCCAUCGCUCAACUAGCUAUGUAAUGGAAUCUGAAGUAAUAUGUGCAGUGAUGUUUCCUAUUCCAUGGA
Lolium perenne is the source of this 3974-nucleotide non-coding RNA. NCBI's taxonomy places the organism in Eukaryota, Viridiplantae, Streptophyta, Magnoliopsida, Poales, Poaceae. The record is from RefSeq and is a predicted model, not a curated record.